RNAcentral lists this ribosomal RNA (497 nucleotides) under uncultured bacterium. RNAcentral's name for it is "partial 16S ribosomal RNA". It matches the Rfam family "Bacterial small subunit ribosomal RNA", at positions 28 to 507 of the family's 1533-position model. The record is from RNAcentral.
GAUGAACGCUGGCGGCGUGCCUAAUACAUGCAAGUCGAGCGAACGGACGAGAAGCUUGCUUCUCUGAUGUUAGCGGCGGACGUGUGAGUCACACGUGGAUAACCUACCUAUAAGACUGGGAUAACUUCGGGAACCCGGAGCUAAUACCGGAUAAUAUUUUGAACCGCAUGGUUCAAAAGUGAAAGACGGUCUUGCUGUCACUUAUAGAUGGAUCCGCGCUGCAUUAGCUAGUUGGUAAGGUAACGGCUUACCAAGGCAACGAUGCAUAGCCGACCUGAGAUGGUGAUCGAGCACACUAGAACCGAGAAACGUUCCAGACUCCUACGGGAGGCACCAGUCGGGAAUCUUCGCCAAUGGGCGAAAGCCUGACGUAGCCACGCCGGGUCUGUGACGAAGGUCUACGGAUCGUAAAACUCUGUUAUCAGGGAAGAACAUAUGUGUAAGUAACUGUGCAGAUCCGGACGGUACCUAAUCAGAAAGGCACGGCUAACUACGGG